AUUGAACGCUGGCGGCAUGCCUUACACAUGCAAGUCGAACGGCAGCGGGGACUUCGGUCCGCCGGCGAGUGGCGAACGGGCGAGUAAAGCAUCGGAACGUACCCGGAAGUGGGGGAUAACGUAGCGAAAGUUACGCUAAUACCGAAUAUUCUGUGAGCAGGAAAGAGGGGGAUCUUCGGACCUCUUGCUUUCGGAGAGGCCGAUGUCAGAUUAGCUAGUUGGUGAGGUAAGGGCUCACCAAGGCGACGAUCUGUAGCGGGUCUGAGAGGAUGAUCCGGCACACUGGAACUGAGACACGGUCCAGACUCCUACGGGAGGCAGCAGUGGGGAAUUUUGGACAAUGGGCGCAAGCCUGAUCCAGCCAUGCCGCGUGAGUGAAGAAGGCCUUCGGGUUGGAAAGCUCUUUCGGCCGGGAAGAAAUCGCAUGGGUUAAUACCCUGUGCGGAUGACGGUACCGGCAUAAGAAGCACCGGCUAACUACGUGCCAGCCGCCGCCGUAA
This 500-nucleotide ribosomal RNA is filed under the name uncultured bacterium. Its description in RNAcentral is "partial 16S ribosomal RNA". It matches the Rfam family "Bacterial small subunit ribosomal RNA", at positions 29 to 523 of the family's 1533-position model. The record is from RNAcentral.